GCCCCUAUCGUCUAACGGCUAGGACACCACUCUUUCAAGGUGGCGAUCGGGGUUCGAUUCCCCGUGGGGGCG
RNAcentral lists this transfer RNA (72 nucleotides) under Gemmatimonadota bacterium. RNAcentral describes it as "Gemmatimonadetes bacterium (beach sand metagenome) tRNA-Glu". It matches the Rfam family "tRNA". From Rfam's summary of the family: Transfer RNA (tRNA) molecules are approximately 80 nucleotides in length. Their secondary structure includes four short double-helical elements and three loops (D, anti-codon, and T loops). The record is from RNAcentral. RNAcentral also lists the same sequence under 1 other name. Lineage: Bacteria; Pseudomonadati; Gemmatimonadota.